This 75-nucleotide transfer RNA is filed under the name Nitrososphaerota archaeon. RNAcentral describes it as "Thaumarchaeota archaeon tRNA-Pro". It matches the Rfam family "tRNA". Rfam says of the family: Transfer RNA (tRNA) molecules are approximately 80 nucleotides in length. Their secondary structure includes four short double-helical elements and three loops (D, anti-codon, and T loops). The record is from RNAcentral. RNAcentral also lists the same sequence under 1 other name. Lineage: Archaea; Thermoproteati; Nitrososphaerota.
GGGGUCGUGGGCUAGUCUGGUCAUGCUACAUGCCUUGGACGCAUGUGAUCGUGGGUUCAAAUCCCACCGACCCCA